UACGAAGGGGGCUAGCGUUGCUCGGAAUCACUGGGCGUAAAGGGCGCGUAGGCGGGGAGGUGAGUCGGGUGUGAAAUCCCUCGGCCCAACCGAGGAACUGCGCCCGAGACUGCUUCUCUUGAGUCCCGGAGAGGAAGAUGGAAUUCCCGGUGUAGCGGUGAAAUGUGUAGAGAUCGGGAGGAACACCGGUGGCGAAGGCGGUCUUCUGGACGGUGACUGACGCUGAGCGCGAAAGCGUGGGGAGCAAACGG
This 251-nucleotide ribosomal RNA is filed under the name uncultured bacterium. RNAcentral describes it as "partial 16S ribosomal RNA". It matches the Rfam family "Bacterial small subunit ribosomal RNA", at positions 524 to 775 of the family's 1533-position model. The record is from RNAcentral.